RNAcentral lists this ribosomal RNA (494 nucleotides) under uncultured bacterium. Its description in RNAcentral is "partial 16S ribosomal RNA". It matches the Rfam family "Bacterial small subunit ribosomal RNA", at positions 28 to 507 of the family's 1533-position model. The record is from RNAcentral.
GACGAACGCUGGCGGCGUGCUUAACACAUGCAAGUCGAACGGACAGACCUGCUUUCCCUUUUUGAUUUCUUGUCCUCGAGUGGCUAACGGGUGAGUAACUCGCCAGUGAUCUGCCCCCAACUUGGGUAUAAGCCUCGUAAACUGUGUCUAAUUCCCGAUAGGACUGCAGGGUUGUACCUGUUGUGGCAAACUAUUUUCUACUGGUUGGUGAUGCGCUCGCGGCCUAUCAGCUUGUUGGUGGGGUAAUGGCCUACCAAGGCGGAGACGGGUAGCCGUCAGGAGAGGGGGGACGGUCACAUUGGGACAGGGAUAAGGCCCAGACUGAAACGGGAAGUAGGAGUGGGGAAGAUUGCGCAAUGGGCGGAAGCAUGAAGCAGCGAGGCAGCGUGGGGGAUGAUGGCAUCCGGGUAGUAAACUACUAGCGAACGCGAGAUAGCCAACUGGUUGGAAGGGUGGUGACGGUAGUGGUAGAAGAAGCAACGGCUAACUACGUG